This 459-nucleotide ribosomal RNA is filed under the name uncultured bacterium. RNAcentral describes it as "partial 16S ribosomal RNA". It matches the Rfam family "Bacterial small subunit ribosomal RNA", at positions 338 to 795 of the family's 1533-position model. The record is from RNAcentral.
CCUACGGUAGGCAGCAGUGAGGAUUAUUGGUCAAUGGGCGCGAGCCUGAACCAGCCAAGUAGCGUGAAGGAUGACUGCCCUACGGGUUGUAAACUUCUUUUAUAAAGGAAUAAGUGAGGCACGUGUGCCUUUUUGUAUGUACUUUAUGAAUAAGGAUCGGCUAACUCCGUGCCAGCAGCCGCGGUAAUACGGAGGAUCCGAGCGUUAUCCGGAUUUAUUGGGUUUAAAGGGAGAGUAGGUGGAUUGUUAAGUCAGUUGUGAAAGUUUGCGGCUCAACCGUAAAAUUUCAGUUGAAAAUGGCAGUCUUGAGUACAGUAGAGGUGGGCGGAAGUCGUGGUGUAGCGGUGAAAUGCUUAGAUAUCACGAAGAACUCCGAUUGCGAAGGCAGCUCACUGGACUGCAACUGACACUGAUGCUCGAAAGUGUGGGUAUCAAACAGGAGUAGAUACCCGGGUAGUC